Molecule: long non-coding RNA, 8963 nt
Filed under: Daphnia magna
Lineage: Eukaryota; Metazoa; Arthropoda; Branchiopoda; Diplostraca; Daphniidae
Description: uncharacterized LOC123470401
Source: RNAcentral
AGAUGGAAUUCUUUUUCAUUUUAUUUUAACGACAGGAACAAGAAAAAUAAAGGAAAUUUUCUUUUUUAAUUGAUUACUUUGUCUUGGGCUCUUGAUUUUGUCUGGUAAUUUCUUUCUUUUUUUUUUAAGGAAGAAAAAAAAAGUCUAUACAGUGUGUAGGGGGGGGGGAGAGAAGAAUAGAAGGGAAACAUUAAAAAAUAUAUAUCCCCACUCGACUGACCACGCAUUGGUUAGAUUUUUCGUUUUAUUACGACGAUAUUUAAUACAAAAGUCGUCACCGACCGCGGUAACAUACAUUUAGUGGGUUGACGACGAUCGUUUCACUUUGCUCCAUACAGGAACAUGACGAAAUUAUUAUAAAAAAAAAAAAAAAAGUUAUUAAAUAAAUGGAGAAAAAAAAAGGGAAAUGUAGAGAUAAAACUGCCGAAAACACGGGACUUGAUAAAAAACGGCAAUAAACAACAAAACCGGUCGAUAUUGACGUCAUUUUGUGUUUGUGUUUACCUUCAGUUCUUCAUUUUAAAAAAUCGCCAGCUGUACACAUGAUGAUGCAGAAAAGAAGGAUCUACCUAUAAUAUGAAAAGGACGCAAACUGUGUGUACAUUCGGCGACAUAUUUCCCCUCUUUUCUUUAGUGCAUGUUUCAUUUCUCUAUGCGUCUGUUGUCGUGUCGUUUUGUGUGCGCGUACACCGACGACUCAUUAUUAUCUCGAGCGACGCUGGGAUAUACGACACGCGAUCAACAACAUGUAAUUUAUUUGAAAGUAAUCCUCUUUGAACGUUACAUGCGCCUGGGCAAUCAACUAACCAGCCAAACUGGUAAAUGGACAAACAAGUCGUGACCAGAUUAAAUCGGUGAUUGAAUUUUAAUGCACUGUGUAUCGGAACAAAAUUAAAAAUUCAGUUCUGGAAUUCGGAGAUAAUCUAUUUACUGCGCGCAGCUUCAUUAACAAUUGCAGAAUAAUUUAAAAAAAACGAACGUUGAAGCCUGCUGAUUAUUGUGGCUGAUUCGUUUCAAUCGGAACCGCACCGAGGAGCUCAAUUCGCAAAACUGCUACUGGUAGAAUUUUAGCUCAUUAUUUCUAUUUGUUAUUCUUUGCCCCCGCUGAGCAUGAAUAUUUCAUUCCAUGUGUCACUCGCCCUAACAACACAAAAUUAAACGAGGAUAAAGAAAAUGGGGUUCUUUUUUAAAGGAGACUUGUAGUUUCGAUGGUUGGACGUUUGAAAUGGAAAUAGUCAAAUUAGUUGAUGACAUCAUUUUAUUCAUAACUCUAAAAUAGAUUGGGUUUUGCCAAAUCUGACCUGAUAUUCAAAAUCCUCGUUGAAUUUCGAUCAAAAUGGGUUAGUUUUGUUCAAUUCUGAGACAUGGCCCAUUUUCAGAGAUUUUGAAAAACAGCAAAGGGUAUAGCCUUCCCACUUUUGCGAUUUUUGGUCAAAUUCCAACUUGAGCUAAAAACACUUGAUUUCUACUAUAAAUUGAACGAGGAUCAAGAAAAUCAGGUUCAUUUUGAACAGAGACUUGUAGUUUUGACGGUAGGACGUUAGAAAUGGAAUCGUCAAAUUAGAUGACGACAUCAUUUUAAUCAUAACUCUAAAAUUGAUUAAGUUUCACCAAAUCUGAUCACCGAAGAGCUCAGUUCGCAAAACUGCUACUGGUAGAAUUCUAGCUCAUUAUUUCUAUUCGUUAUUCUUUGCCCCCGCUGAGCAUGAAUAUUUCAUUCCAUGUGUCACUCGCCCUAACAACACAAAAAAGCAUCGUGAUUUGCGUCAACAACCGCACACAAUCCUGUCGUCGUGCAACCCGACACGAAUCGUCAACUUGUCAAGAACUUGUUCGAUUUCGAAAAGGGACUAAAAUGAAAACGGGUUUUUUCUCUCUUGCUCGUUUUCUUUUUAUCUUUUUCUUAGAGUUGCUGUGCUGACGGUGAAUGUCACCGACGCUAUGUAAUAAUGCGUAGCUAUUUGACUUGCUACAUAUAGAGAGGAUAGAGAGAGAAGAUAGAAAAACCGGGAUCGUUUCAUUGCGUCAUGACGUUCGAUGUCUAUACUUGCGACAUCAGCAUGGCACUAGCAAUUAAAAAGAAAAUCGUUUCAAAAACGAUAAAAAGCCCAUUCUUUUUUUGUUUCAUUUUCUCACCUGGCGUUGGUCACGUUUUUCUCCCACACAAAUUCUCCGUCCAUACAUUUUUUUCGUUUUUAACCUUUUUUUAAAAAAAUAUUAUCUUAUAUGGCGCAUUAUCUCGGAAGAAGUCAAAUGAGUGCAAACGUCAAUCAUGACCCGUGGAUGAUGAUAUCAUCCUCCGUGCAAAUAAAGUAUAAAUAAUGUUUAGAGCAUGAAUCACGUGCUGCUGACUGUAGAUUUAAAAAAAAGGCGAGACUGUUGAACUAUUGCAAAGUCAGCGAUAAAAUUAAUCGUCUGCUAGUUUAAUGAGGACACCCCACCAUUUUGGAGAGCCUUAUCUACAUACCAAUUUUGAAAUAUUCCCUUUUCUUAUUCAAACAAAAGAUAUAUAUCCGCAAUUCUUUAACGGCUAUCUCAGUUUGUAUUUGUUUGUUUUUUUCUCUUUUUAUUUUGGCAUUGCCACUCCCGGAGGUGACGAAAGACGAAUGGAGAAUAGCGGAAACAUUGACGUUAAAACAAAACAAAAAAUGAAACACACAAAAAGAAAGAGACAAUGCUUACGUGACACAAGUGUUGUUUGUCUUCAGCCUCUUUUCUUGUUAUAAAUACAAGUAGGUGUGAAAAACAAAACAGGAGCGCUGGGUACGGCUAUAUAUAUAUCACAUCUAUACAGUAUAUAGGAAAGCGUUUCUGUUGCUUUUUAUGUUUUAUGUUGUAUAGGUACUAUGCAAGCGUUCUGUCACCUAGAGCGGCGGCCAUCUCUUACACAACUCUCCCUAGUUCUUUUUUUUUAGCUCGUAAACAUAUGCAGUCAAAGCAACGACACAACAAGAGAAAUAGCGAAACAAAGCAGACAAAAAAAAGUCGGCUUUGGGUGGAGAAAGAUUUACGUUUGUGAUACAGCUUAUCGGCAGAUGCGGUACUGUACAAACCAGAGUUCGUGAAGCGUGCACCGCCGAGCAGGCUGUCCUUGAAUCAAAAGAAAGCAAGUUAUGCUAUACCUUGUGUCUUUUUUUAUUCGGUCCAAAGUCGUAUUUUGUUUUCACAAUAAAAAGUAAGAAAAGUUGGGAAAACAAAGUAGCAGUCAAACUUUAUCAGCGCAUACUUUUUGCGAGUCAACUGCUGUUGACUUUGCAACGAGAAAAGAAGCUGGCCUUAGGCAGCUACCCAAGUGUAGAUAGCAACAAGAAACGAUUGCCUAUCGCUUUCUUGUUUCUCCGCUUGAAUAUUUUUAUUGGCCGCUUAUCCGAAUUGAUUUUGAAAAAAAAUGGUUUCCCAAGCCUUUCGGGAGAGGCAACAACAAAUUGAAAGGCAAACGACAUUCACGCCCAGAGUUUUUUUUUUCUUUUUCGGGUCUUGUUGAGACAUUUAGGAGAUCGGAGCGAGGUCGUCGUUUACGCAGGUUGUCCCCUUCGUUCAAAGCGCUCCUCUUCAAGGAGGCAGUAAAAAAACCAAACAAAAAAAGCGACAUCUUUUUGUGUAAAAGAUUGCGCCUAAAGAGAUGUAGCGCCUCGAUCGGAAUGGGAGCAUUGUUCCAGUGUCAAGGCAUAAUAGUGAGGCGGGGUGAUAUAAGUCUGUCAACCGAAAUGGCCAAGGAACUCUCCGGCAAAGUAAUUGGAGCUUGAAGAAUUUCAAGUUUGGUUUUUGUUUUUUUCUCAGUUGCCUUGACAUUUAGCGAUCGUCUUUUCUUUUUCUUUUUAAAUUUUUUUAUCAUUAUUUUGGUGGCUUUAAGGUAGGAAGUGUUUGCGGUGAACGUCGCAUUCCAACAGUGACAGAGUGUCGAAGUAAUCUUCGUUCAUUGGGCCGCUAAUGAAAAUUCUUAUCAGUUUGAUUGCAAAAACGAAUGUGCUUUUCUUUCACAUUGUAUCCAAUCUGAUAUAGAGAACGAACGAGGCUAUCAUCUGUGGAAUGGCAUUUUUUUUUAUUUUAAAGGGAAACCCCAUGCGAAACGGACGAAGGCCAUCGGCAAAAGUGAAACACUUUCGUGAGCGACGACAACCCAAGCAGAGAUUCUAGAAAUGGAAUGAGAUGGAACAAUCUCGCACAGCCUUUUCUGUUUCAGUUAUGGCUCAAUGCCGAAUUCUUUAAAGAAAAAAAAAUAACACUAAACUCCUUUUCCUUUUCGUUUAAAAGAACAAAUAUUUUCAUUCUCCCGCAACGCCAUUUCACAUCAACGUUCGCCAUUUUUGUUUUCCCCCCUCUGGAAACAUCCCAUCUUUUCCUCUAGAAAAUCUCUGUCAUCCAUGAAAAGAAACGUUGCCAAUUUGGCAUGCAGCUCUUUUCUCUACGUGAUGCUCCGUCUAACUUUGAGAUCACUUCCGACAACGUUCACAAGUGGCCGGUGUCGGGACUUUAGCGUUGAACUUGGCACACUUAUCGGCACCACUCAGUCAAUAUUCAAAAUUCCGUUUGGCUGGCCACAAAACGUGUGAGGGAGGACUUUAUGGCGAGCGGGCAACGAAAAGGUGGCCAUGUUCAAACAACACUGGCACACGGUAUCAUCUAAGUGAGCAUAGUGUGUUGUGUUUGCUGGACUUGUUUGCUGUGGAGGCACGACGAACGGCCGUAUAGAAACCGGCAAGUCGAUAACAACGCCACGAAAAGUCCCCGCACGUUCUCCCACCCCACAUCUUUCGUGUACACACAGCCGAAAUGUUUGCCGAAAGUUAAAGUUGGGAAAUAUGUAUACAUCCCCACGUCGAGUGAUCCUCUGAAUUGGUAUCCAGCGCGAUCACGUAUUCAACGCAAAUACGCGCGUGAAUGUAGAGCUGCAUUUGUCGAAUAUUUCAACAAUAUACGAUGAAUGAGUAUAAAGUGAGGGCCGUAGACGAGCCACUGAAAAGAUAAUAAUAAGUGGCUCUUUCUCGUUCCCGCAAUCCGCCAGCGGUGGCUAGCAAUAAGGGAUUUUUUGUUUUUAUUUAUUUUACUGCUGCUUUUCAUUCGAGAUUACAGCUGCGUGAAUUCCGGGAACAGGAGUCCCCCUCUCCUUUUUUACAUCAAGCACCGGUACCAACUGGUUUUAGUUUUCAGUGUCCUUGAAAACGUGCCUCCAUUUUUUGUUCUUUCUCGAUUUCAGAAAAUAACACGUCCUCUCGAGUGUGCGUAAUGAACAUUACACGAAGCUCAGUCCUCUCUUCAUGCCGAAAUCGAGGAAUAAUAACGAAAAAAAUGUCGGAUAGUGUGUUUGUUAUUAUUAUUUUCCUGGUAGCUGGUGCUUUUCAAUCGAGAGUUGGGCAUAUCACACAAAAAAUGGAUGUGCAAGUUGAGAUAUAAACAAGGAUUUUUAUAAUCCGGUGAGCGCUGCAUUACAUUUUUCGAGAAGUUUGCAUUGAGCCCAGCGAUUUUAGGUGCGUUGUUCAAACGAGGAUUAAAAGGAAAAUACCAAUUUUCGAGUUUUUUUUUUGUUGUUGUUGUAAGUUUUUAUUUCCCUGUGUCGACUUUAAGAACAAACCAUUGUCCAUUUUUGUGUAUAGUAGGACUACAGGGAUCCAUCAAGGAAAAAGAAGGAAUGCCCAACCAUUGAGGCACCACUUGUACACAGGUACAAAUCCAGUGGAAAUUAUACCUUUUGGCCUAUAUAUAGAAGGUGCAUACCAUGCAUACUUUUUCCCAAAAAAAAUAAAUAGGAAAAAAUGUGGAAAAAUAGGAGGCAGAAACCAUACUGGUUUUUAAACAAAAAAAAAAAAAAAAGAAAUUUCUUUGAAUUUUUCUUGUUCUGCCUAUUUUUUUUUUUUUUUCGCUCUUCGAGCUCAGCGUGUUCUCAAAAUGCUGAUAAUACCACCCGAGCAUCGACUUCGAUUGUGAUGCAAAUGAGCCCACUACACACACACAAAAAGAAAGGGGGGGAUGGCUCUCUGCUUUUGUGCUGGCCAUUGCAGUUGAAAAGAAAUGGAAUUGCGGUUGUCCCGUUCGUUUUUCGUACCAAAUCCACUUUCUUUCUUGUUCAUAUUUCGUUUUUUUUUCCCUUCCUCCAUCAACUUCGGGCUUCUUUACUCUUGUUCGCCCCGUUGCAAGUCGUGAUCCAGUGGACCGGGCGUUCGGCCGAGCCGACUUUUCAUGGUAAUCAGCUGCGGUAAAUCAAAGAAGAAGAGGGGAAUAGAAAGAAGCGCUUUUUUGAAGUAACCUCCUCGUCCUCCAUUGACUUGGGCAUGAACGGACAUAUACCAACGGGGAUCCUACUAUUCCUCCCCCUUUUUUUUUUUACAUAUGGCUUCGAAUCGACGCUCGAAAAGAUCGAUUCACUCUGUCCGAUGUGCGAGCCCAUAGAUAUUAUAUUUUCUUGGCUCUACAUUUAAACAAACAAAAAAAAAAUGUCUUUUUAUUGUCCUGUUUGAAAGAAAAAUUCUCAUUUUCAUUUAUUAUUUUUUUAACGUGUAAUUAUGCAAUCAUCGGUGUAGUUUCGUGUUUGGAGGCGCAGACAAAGCUGCUGGCCAUAAUCAGAUGUGAAUAUCUAAAUAAGGGCAAAAUUAGGCUGUGUGAGUCGGCGAUGUAUAGGGCGGCUCUGCCUUUUGCCCUCGUCUGUUUUUAUGCCUUCAACUGCAUGUGAGGUCUCGACUGGUGUAGGUCCUCCUCCUAUACGCACUGGCGUGCCACUAGACUGUACCACACGUACUAUAUAUACUGCCUUUUCAACCUUUCAACCUUAUAUGUGUAUAUAUACCUUUCGUACCACCCACAAUCGGUGAGCAGGGCUUAUAUUCUGAUUGGAUCUGGAGAGAAGAAAUGCAAACUUUUUCGUUUGCUACAAGCUAAAAUAGAACUGUGUCUUGGUCGUAGAAUAAGAUAAGAAAGGUCAUUUGCCCGUGUUCCAUUUUUCGGACUUGUCGGAAAGUGACUGACGUCUUGACGAGCGUGGAAAUGUAUUGUAACAAGGUCAUCAUCUAUCGGUCGUUGGACUCGGCCAGGAAAACUUCAAACCACCAGAAAUCUACGGAAAUAGAUUCAUUUUAAAGAGGUUCGUCUUUCAGGCGGCGCCUCAAGGAUUCCUGUGAGGUCUUUUUGGUCUGUGUGGGUAUAAACACAGACUGUUAGCAUUUUUUUUGUUUUUUCGCUCGACGACCUUUCUAACCCCGGCACCUCCUCCACAGACCAGCCCAAAGUCUUAACUAUUGCCUUUUUUUUUUUUUUUCCUCCAAUUUUAACAUGGAAACACGAAACAAAAAUUUCCCAAUUCCCCACGAAUGUGAGUGCGGCGCGCACAAGUUCUACGCGGAGCCGUGAGCCAUUAAAAGCCUACACACAAGACCCCCUCCCCCCACACAGUGUACUACCCCGCAUAUAUACCUACCAGCUGCGCUCUCUCGGUGUGACCACAUCCUCAAGUUCGACUUUUCGAGGGCUCUAAAAAAGAAUUUUUUUUUUUUAAAUAUAUAUUUCUCCCUUUCAACAUACCGAUACAAGCAUUUUUAUCUCUUUAUCUGUUCCUCUUCGUGUCCUCUAGAUAUUAAUGAGAAAAGAAAAGAAAAAAAAUCAUAAUAAUAAAAGAAAUAAAAAUAAAAAGAACUGCCUGAUCUUCUAACCUUCACCGGAGACGACGAGUUGCGGCGACAUCGGAGACGACCGGCCAAAAAAGAAAACAAUAAAAAAAUAAAAUCUAAGCAAUUUCGAAUUAUUUCUUCUUCUUUAUUUGGCGUUGUGGUCAGCACCUCAAGAAGAAGAAAAACAAUUUCUUUUUAAAUAAAACGUUAAAAAAUAAAAAGAGCACGAACGCCGCAAACUCGUGCACUCCAGCAGCUCGACACGUGGAAGGGACAGGUUAGAAAAGAAAAAAAAGAAGAGCUUCAGUCAAAAUAGAAGCAAAACAUAUUUCAGGUUUUCUUCAUUUUGGAAUGAGGGUUAAAAAAUAUUUAAAAAAUAAACAAAAGAAUAAGGGAAACAAUAGAACCGAGAGAGUAAAAAGGGCUCCGCUCUAGUGUUCUUCAGCUUCUUCUCGCUUUUUGUGUGUGUGUGUGUGUUGUUGUUCCAGUCGUAUAGCGCAUCGCAAAAGAAGCCAAGUCAUCAAUGCAAAGCCCAGGCACGGCGGUGUUGGGGUAUCUCUCUAGUCUCUCCCAACUUCUUCUUCUUGCACCUAGUUCUUCAGCAGAGAGGGGAAACUGUGUUCUUCAUCGUCGUCCCGAGUACCACCUGUCAUCCCUAAGGCAACGUCCACGGUUCUCUUUUUAUUUUUGCUGGCUGCUGCAUAUACGGACAUGCUGUAUAGAAUUACGUAUAUAAAUAUUGUAGCUCAAGCACAAAAACCAUCUUCCUCUUCGUCCCUUCAACAAUUUUUGUUCCCCCUUUUUUAUUUUAUUUAAAAAGAGGGAUUCUCUUCAGAUUGCGUUAUCACACACACACACACACACAAAUAGAGCUGUGUAUUCAUUUCACGUCUAUACUAGAUAUAAAAAUUAUGUGUAGAAGCUCUCGGUCGCGGCCAGGAUGCGGGCUGUCUGUUGUUGUAAAGGGAAACCGUACGAUAAAUUUAUGUAUAUCGUUUAAAUGACGCCCGCUGAUGUUCCAUCCGUUCGAACCUUUUCUCUCUUUCUCUCGGUUCCCUUUUUCUUUUCUUUUUUUUUUGUGGGCGUUCAAUUUUCAACUGUUCACCCCGUUCAUAAUUUGAAACGAUCAAAGCUCAAUAGAGUAGGGGGACGAUUGCUCGUUCUUUAUUAUUUUCUUCUUUUACUGCCUGAGAUCCCGGUUGAAAGAAAAAGAAAAUGGUUACAUCAAGGAUAAUCAAAUUUCACGAGUGUUGCGUCUCUUUUUUUUUCUUUCCCGCACUACGUAAUUGGUUCCAUUCGGUGUUCAAAGAAUAAAGGCUGAAUAAAGUUAAAAAAAAAAAAUAUUUUUUUAAUGACUCGAACCCG